AUAUUAUUUGGUUGAGAUUCCUCUUCUUCAUAUCAUAGGGUGAAAGGAACAAGAUAUUUCAAUUGCCCCCCACUUCAUGGUGGAAUCGUUCGGCCAGACAAAGUAAAGGUUGGUGACUACCCUGAACGAGAUCCAUUCGAGGAGGAUGAAAUCUAA
Molecule: non-coding RNA, 156 nt
Organism: Prunus avium (sweet cherry)
Lineage: Eukaryota; Viridiplantae; Streptophyta; Magnoliopsida; Rosales; Rosaceae
Source: RefSeq, a predicted model, not a curated record